Molecule: ribosomal RNA, 128 nt
Filed under: uncultured fungus
Lineage: Eukaryota; Fungi
Description: partial 5.8S ribosomal RNA
Rfam family: 5.8S ribosomal RNA
About the family: 5.8S ribosomal RNA (5.8S rRNA) is a component of the large subunit of the eukaryotic ribosome. It is transcribed by RNA polymerase I as part of the 45S precursor that also contains 18S and 28S rRNA.
Source: RNAcentral
GCAUCGAUGAAGAACGCAGCGAAAUGCGAUAAGUAAUAUGAAUUGCAGAUUUUCGUGAAUCAUCGAAUCUUUGAACGCACAUUGCGCCCUCUGGUAUUCCAGAGGGCAUGCCUGUUUGAGCGUCAUUU